AUAUCAAUAAGCGGAGGAAAAGAAACCAACAGGGAUUGCCCCAGUAACGGCGAGUGAAGCGGCAAUAGCUCAAAUUUGAAAUCUGGCUCUUUCAGGGUCCGAGUUGUAAUUUGCAGAGGGCGCUUUGGUGUCGGCAGCAGCCUAAGUUCCUUGGAACAGGUCAUCAUAGAGGGUGAGAAUCCCGUAUGUGGCUGCUUGUCUUCACCGUGUAAAGCCCCUUCGAUGAGUCGAGUUGUUUGGGAAUGCAGCUCUAAAUGGGAGGUAAAUUUCUUCUAAAGCUAAAUAUUGGCCAGAGACCGAUAGCGCACAAGUAGAGUGAUCGAAAGAUGAAAAGCACUUUGGAAAGAGAGUCAAAAAGCACGUGAAAUUGUUGAAAGGGAAGCGCUUGCAGCCAGACGUGCCCGUAGUUGCUCAUCUGGGGUUUUCCCCAGUGCACUCUUCUAUAGGCAGGCCAGCAUCAGUUCGGGCGGUUGGAGAAAGACCUGUGUCACGUAGCUCUCUUCGGGGAGUGUUAUAGGGCAGGUGGAAUGCAACCAGCCUGAACUGAGGUCCGCGCAUCUGCUAGGAUGCUGGCGUAAUGGCUGUAAGCGGCCCGUCUUGAAACACGGACCAAGGAGUCUAACAUCUAUGCGAGUGUUUGGGUGUCAAGCCCGAGCGCGUAAUGAAAGUGAACGGAGGUGGGAACCCCUCGGGGCGCACCAUCGACCGAUCCUGAUGUCUUCGGAUGGAUUUGAGUAAGAGCAUAGCUGUUGGGACCCGAAAGAUGGUGAACUAUGCCUGAAUAGGGUGAAGCCAGAGGAAACUCUGGUGGAGGCUCGCAGCGGUUCUGACGUGCAAAUCGAUCGUCAAAUUUGGGCAUAGGGGCGAAAGACUAAUCGAACUAUCUAGUAGCUGGUUCCUGC
Molecule: ribosomal RNA, 902 nt
Filed under: Herpotrichia juniperi
Lineage: Eukaryota; Fungi; Ascomycota; Dothideomycetes; Pleosporales; Melanommataceae
Description: partial 28S ribosomal RNA
Rfam family: Eukaryotic large subunit ribosomal RNA
Source: RNAcentral